Podarcis lilfordi (Lilford's wall lizard) is the source of this 71-nucleotide non-coding RNA. Lineage: Eukaryota; Metazoa; Chordata; Lepidosauria; Squamata; Lacertidae. The record is from the annotation of a GenBank genome assembly.
GGGCUGUAGCUCAGUGGUAGAACAUCUGUCUUGCAUGUGGAAGGGCCCGGGUUCAAUCCUUGACAGCAUCU